GCGUGACCAGCACGAAUGUCGGAAUGUCGCCGCUCUCCUAAAGCGGGUGUCGGCAGUUCGAAUCUGCCCAGGCGCA
This 76-nucleotide transfer RNA is filed under the name Cellulomonas sp. RNAcentral describes it as "tRNA-Arg". The record is from RNAcentral. Lineage: Bacteria; Bacillati; Actinomycetota; Actinomycetes; Micrococcales; Cellulomonadaceae.